GAACGCGAAGAACCUUACCUACCCUUGGCAUCCUCGGAACUAUUUAGAGAUAGAUGGGUGCCUUCGGGAACCGAGAGACAGGUGCUGCAUGGCUGUCGUCGGCUCGUGUCGUGAGAUGUUGGGUUAAGUCCCGUAACGAGCGCAACCCCUAUUCUUAGUUGCCAUCAGGUAAAGCUGGGAACUCUAAGGAGACUGCCGGUGACAAGCCGGAGGAAGGUGGGGAUGACGUCAAGUCCUCAUGGCCCUUACGGGCAGGGCUACACACGUGUUACAAUGGACAGUACAAAGGGGAGCGAAACUGCAAAGUGGAGCAAAUCUUAUUAAAGCUGUUCGUAGUCCGGAUUGGAGUCUGCAACUCGACUCCAUGAAGUUGGAAUCGCUAGUAAUCGUAGAUCAGAACGCUACGGUGAAUACGUUCCCGGGUCUUGUACACACC
Molecule: ribosomal RNA, 436 nt
Filed under: uncultured bacterium
Lineage: Bacteria
Description: bacterial SSU rRNA
Rfam family: Bacterial small subunit ribosomal RNA
Source: RNAcentral